This 468-nucleotide ribosomal RNA is filed under the name uncultured bacterium. RNAcentral's name for it is "partial 16S ribosomal RNA". The stretch from base 20 to 362 matches the Rfam family "Bacterial small subunit ribosomal RNA", at positions 47 to 391 of the family's 1533-position model. The record is from RNAcentral.
GACGAACGCUGGCGGCGUGCUUAACACAUGCAAGUCGAACGGAAAGGCCCUGCUUUUGUGGGGUGCUCGAGUGGCGAACGGGUGAGUAACACGUGAGUAACCUGCCCUUGACUUUGGGAUAACUUCAGGAAACUGGGGCUAAUACCGGAUAGGAGCUCCUGCUGCAUGGUGGGGGUUGGAAAGUUUCGGCGGUUGGGGAUGGACUCGCGGCUUAUCAGCUUGUUGGUGGGGUAGUGGCUUACCAAGGCUUUGACGGGUAGCCGGCCUGAGAGGGUGACCGGGCAAAUUGGGAAAUGGAAACGGGCACAAAUCCCAAGGGGGGGAAGAGGGGGGAAUAUUGAAAAAAGGGGGGAAACCCGAAGGAAGAAAGGCGGGGGGGGGGAGAAGGGCCUUGGGGUUGAAAACGCGUUCGGCCGGGAAGGAGGGGGAGGGAAGGGAAAGGGGUAAGAAAGAACGGGUAAAUAAGGG